AGCACAUCCUGACUGAUUAUCUGCCACAGCUGCUCAUGAUGAAUCCUGAGCUGUUUGCACACUGCAUAGAGCAGAUCCUGACUACAAGACGGAAAGAGCAGCUGAGGUCCAAAGCAAGUGAAAAGAUGUGGAUGAAGAUCGAGGCACUCGCUAAGUCCAAAACACAGCUACGGUGCAAAACCAAAGAACUCACAGCCACAGAAAAAGAAAGAAGAAAAGGUUAAACCGACUGAGGACCCAACUGUCCAUAAGAAGAAGAAGACUGUUGUGUUUGCUGACAGAGUGACACGGGUUCCUCC
Thalassophryne amazonica is the source of this 299-nucleotide long non-coding RNA. RefSeq lists it as uncharacterized. NCBI's taxonomy places the organism in Eukaryota, Metazoa, Chordata, Actinopteri, Batrachoidiformes, Batrachoididae. The record is from RefSeq and is a predicted model, not a curated record. The transcript has 5 exons.